AAGUAAUCCUGAAGGAGGUGGAGUAAUUGUGUAUUUGGAGUACAGUAUUGGGUAAAUUAGGACUUUCUUUUGAAUGGCAAUUCAAACAAAAACUGUACCUGGCUGCUCAGCUCUGGUGUAGAAAUUAUUUUGCUGGACUUGCUUCAAGAACUAAAGCUGCGGCUCCUGCUGUCUCCAACAGCAGGGGAGUGCUUGCAGUAGAAAGCUGCAUUAUUUUUUUUUUUUUUAACAUGAGGGAAACUGCAGUUUAUGGGAUGCUGGGUCAGGUCAAGGAGGGCUUUAGUCUUCAAAUACCAACAGGUUGUAUGUGUUGGAUUCAGAGAAGGAUGGGGUGGAAUACAAGUUGAAUUUCCAGUUUUAGGCAUUACCGGCGGAAGGAGGAGGAAGUGUAGUGGGCAAGUUGGACUGUAACAGCAGGUUGGUGGGACUGUGGUCCCUAUUAUGUGGUUGGAAACUGCUGACGAGAAGGUAAUAAUCGCUCUUGAGUUUGAGGCAAGAUGGCCAAAAAUAUGUAAUGAUCCCUUCUCUCUCCCCUUUUGUCCUUUUCGACGGUACCAGACUGCUGAGGUACAAAAUCUGUUCCUGGGAGGUCCAACAUCAAAUAGCCUAUGGCUACAAUUUUUGAAUGGGUGUCAAAACUCUGCUAUUUCCUUUCAUGUUCGCUUGGUCCCACCAAAAUCGGUGUGUUUGUACCUGGUCACUGCUGGGAGCAGCAGGCACAGCCUGUUUCAAGGCCAAGUGCCUUUGCUAUGGCAAACCCCUUGUGCUUUUUUGCCCCGCAGUGCAGUAAACUGACGUGUGGGAGGAAGCGAUGGCAUCAGAGCAGCCUGCUGUCUGCUGCUUUGUGGACCAAACCACCUGGGAGCUCCUCAACCUGCUGGACAUAGUGGGGAGGCAGAACGGACGGGUGCUGGUGGUGGAGGUGGAUGAUGAGAAUGAGAGAACUCCCUCGGUGCUGGUGGAUUUUGUCCAGGACCUGUGUGGCACAGCUGACAUCAGGGCUAAACUGCAGCAGGCGGAGGGGAUGGAAGAGAAGGAUGAUGUUCGGCCACAUCUGAUUUUUAUGCUGUGGCAAGCCGCCAUGUUGAAGAAGUUGAUGCGGUGGGAUCACCUGGACGAGGCCCUCUGGGAUGUGAGGAACCUCCUCCCCUGCCUGCCGGACGUGCUGGUGCUUGUGAUGAUCCACCCGGACCACCAGGAGCAGCUGGACCAGACAGUGAGAGCACUCAGGAGAAUGCAGUGUCUGCUGGAUGGGGCCUGGCAACUGGUGGUGGAGGCAGCAGUCUACAGCCCAGGCCAGCCUGGUGGUAGCCUCGAGGCAAAGAGAGCUGCAUGUAGAGCACUGAGAGAAGUCCUAAACUGCCAUGAAGAAGUCAACUCCCAGCAUCCAUUUAUUGUUUCGCUCCCAAAGUUCAGUUACUGCUGUGCUCUGCCUGAACAUAUGCGACACAAGGCAUCAAAGACAGCUGGAGAAUGAAUUCCCAGAAUCUGGCAGAUCUUGUAUCCACCUGAGAUCUUAACUAUCACCACAAGAAGUAUUAAAAAGCUGGUAUUUAUUUCAUUUCCCCGUGUGUCGGUGUGUACCUAUAAGCUUUAAAGCUGUACACCAAAGAGUGGGAAACUCCUGCUGAAGCUGCAGGGUUGGCGAGUUUUCAUGCGAUAGCUCUGCUGCCGGGCUGGCAGGAGCGCUGCGAUCCAGCAAAGCGAGAACAAGCGGCGGUGGCCUGACACCUCUCCAGCCAGCUCAGCUAGAGCCUGACGAGGAGACACACCAGAAAGCAUGAGGAGUACUGCUGCAUGGCCCAGAAGUCUGCCAGGCGUAACAGGUCUCCUCCCGGGACAGACGAGAACAACCUGCUCUGCUCAGCUGGCAUCGUACCCUGUGAGAGCAGCAGGGAGCAGCCAUCCUGUGGGCUGCUGGCAUAUGAGCAUCUGGGCACUAACUCUGGAGGAAGAUCUUGAUCAAGACAGCACCUGAGCCGAGCUUUGCCAUCCAGACCAAGCUUUGCCCAUUUCCAAAAAACCCUCGGCCUAGCCCUGCUCCUCACUGAUCUGGCACAUCGUGUCUACGUGCCAGGACAAAGUCCGAUUGCCCUUUGGUGCAAUCCUGUGGCGUGCCAGGAGGGCACCUUGCCAGCUGCUUACCUGUGGCCUCUUUCAGGGCUCCAUAUUGUCAGACCAAGCCACUCCAAACCCACCUGCUCCAGCCUGGGAAGCUGAUGGAUCUGCCCUUUGCCUUUAUAAAGGGAGCAGUUCUGAGAACCUGGGGCCUUGGCCUGUGCCAGGGGUUUUGUGGGAAGGAGGCAGGAGGAUGCAAGAGGGAGUGUGAGGAAGGCAGGAGGGGCUGUGUUCGCAUGCAGUGGUCCCCAACCACAGGUGUCCAGCUCAGUGGGGUCUGGGGUAACUUCUAAGAGGUUCUGCAAAGGGUGAGCACACAAAAAGCUGGACUGCUGGUGUAAAAGGGACAUGUGUACUGGGGAAAAAAUGAAGGCUGGUGGCUGCGGACAGCUAGUCCUGGGUCCUGUUGUCAAACCGAAGGCAAUGGAACAGCUGAGGCUCUGGCAGGACAGCUGGGAGAAGGCCAGAAGAGGCAGCCAUGUUCUUGGGUCUGAUAUUGCCAGACAGUUUUUGAACAUCUUCCCAGUGGGGAAGCAAAGAACGGAGCAGGCUGGGGGGCGGCAGCCUCCACUGCUGUCUAAGGGGACAGGCAGAGACAUCCCUCCUACCUCAUGAUGAGGACUGCCCCAACACCACGGGUUCUCCACACACGGCCCUGUGACAGAUCCCCACCCUCCUCUUCAGAAAUACCUUCCUGUGCCCCUCUGCCAUCCAGAAAGGGAUGGUCACUCAAGGAAACAUAGGGAAAAUUAGGACGGCUGCAGAGAUGGGCAGGAUGAGGCAUGGCUUUCAAAGGGAAUGGGAUUUUGGAGAAGAGAGGCAGGGAAAGGUUUGGGGUUCCCCAUCAGGAAGCAGGCUGUGUCCAAGCGGGACUUCCCAGCUUUAUUUGCUUAUGGGGUGUAACGUCUGCUGAGCAGAGCUCAGGGAGGUGUGAUGACUUGGACGGAUCCAGGUCAGGACUGAGUCGGCACAGGCUGCCAGGGGACAAAAAAUGGGGCUGCCUCAGUGGUCCCUGGAGGUGGCUGGGUCCAGGGCGUGGGGAGAUGGGAUAGAACAAAGUGACCAUCCAGUUUGGAUUGAGUUGUGACUGAACUUGUCACGGGCAGGAUCCCUGUCUGGUUUGAUACAGUUCAAGCUUCAGUGGGUGAAGAGCUCAGUGAGUGUUGGUGCCCCACAGCAAAGCUCCUGCUGGCAGCUGGUAGCGCUGCUCAAGUAAAGCAGAUGUUCUCCAGCAUCUCACAAUGAUGGUGUGUUUUUUCCAAAGCAGUAAGUGGCAGCAGGUUUGGAGAGCAGGUCUGUGAAAGAGCACUUGUGCAAAUGUUUGCUAAGGCUUAGCUUGUCAGCAGCCAGUUCCUGCUCCUGCCCGGCUCAGGGGCUUUUCCAAGUGCCCCCGUGAACACCGAGGCUGCCGAGAAGAAGAGUUUAAGGAGCCGGGAUGGGUCAUUGGACACAGGGGCUCAGCGCUGCUCCCACAGGUUCCUUCUUGCUCAGUUAGCCUCUCUGCACGCCUAUCGUCAAAAUUGGCAUGAGAAUCCUUUUUCCCCAUCCUCUUUCUGCUCUCUUCAGAAAAUAGGUUAAUCUUGGUAAAUGCAUCUCUUAAAGGGCCUAAUCUAAUGGACCUUUGAUUUUGUUUAGAAUUAAAGGCACUACUAAUACACAUGAUAAAUUUAUUUCUCUGAACAAAGCAUCUUCUCUUCCUCCUUUGAAGUCCAAAAUGAGCAGAUGUUGUGUUUGCUCUGAAGAGCCAUGGGCAUAUGUAAGAGAUGUGAUUACCCUCAUUUAGGGCUAUCUGUAGAGAUUUUUGACAAAUGUGGCUGUCAGGUGGGUGUUUGAAGGAGUGAGAGGCCUUGAAAAUUCAUCUGUGUUUUUGCUCUGAUGCCCGCCAGAGCUCUGCAGUCACUUUGUUGGGGACUACAAAUACUGCUGAGCUCAUGAC
Molecule: RNA transcript, 4054 nt
Organism: Chroicocephalus ridibundus (black-headed gull)
Lineage: Eukaryota; Metazoa; Chordata; Aves; Charadriiformes; Laridae
Exons: 4
Source: RefSeq, a predicted model, not a curated record